GCCGGGGUGGUGAAAUUGGUAGACGCGCUGGACUCAAAAUCCAGUAGAGGCAACUCUGUGAGGGUUCGAUUCCCUCCCCCGGCACUA
Molecule: transfer RNA, 87 nt
Filed under: Fibrobacter intestinalis
Lineage: Bacteria; Pseudomonadati; Fibrobacterota; Fibrobacteria; Fibrobacterales; Fibrobacteraceae
Description: tRNA_Leu_CAA
Rfam family: tRNA
About the family: Transfer RNA (tRNA) molecules are approximately 80 nucleotides in length.
Source: RNAcentral